This 253-nucleotide ribosomal RNA is filed under the name uncultured bacterium. RNAcentral describes it as "partial 16S ribosomal RNA". It matches the Rfam family "Bacterial small subunit ribosomal RNA", at positions 524 to 776 of the family's 1533-position model. The record is from RNAcentral.
UACAGAGGGUGCGAGCGUUAAUCGGAAUGACUGGGCGUAAAGGGUGCGUAGGUGGUUUAUUAAGUUGAUUGUGAAAUUCCUGGGCUUAACCUGGGCACGGCGAUCAAGACUGGUAGACUAGAGUAGAGUAGAGGGAAGUGGAAUUUCCGGUGUAGCGGUGAAAUGCGUAGAUAUCGGAAGGAACACCAGUGGCGAAGGCGGCUUUCUGGACUCAUACUGACACUGAGGCACGAAAGCGUGGGGAUCAAACAGG